This 238-nucleotide long non-coding RNA is filed under the name Mytilus galloprovincialis (Mediterranean mussel). The record is from RNAcentral. Lineage: Eukaryota; Metazoa; Mollusca; Bivalvia; Mytilida; Mytilidae.
AAAAUCGUCAAGAUAUUUAAGAUCGUUAAGUCGCCGUUCAGAUCGAUAGCCUCAUCAGGUAAAUCAGUUCGUUAAGGCAUGUCAAGACGGAAAAGACUGAAUCGUCUAGCGGGUUGUUUAGACCCGUUAAGACCGUGUCAGACCAAAACAGACCAUGGAUACAAAAGAACUUUCAAAAUUUUCAGACCCUGUUUAGAUCCGUUCAGUAUACCGGUUUGAUACCACGAGUUGCGCCCCU